Non-coding RNA from Arachis ipaensis, 1369 nucleotides. Lineage: Eukaryota; Viridiplantae; Streptophyta; Magnoliopsida; Fabales; Fabaceae. The record is from RefSeq and is a predicted model, not a curated record.
GCUAAGGAGAAGGAGGAGCAAUAAAAUGCAGAAUUUUGAAUGAUUCAAUAACUCCGACUAUUCAAGAUGGAUAUCAUUCUUUAUUUCGCUCCUCAUUGAUAUCCUGUUAAGGGAGAAUGGUUAUGAAUCGGGUGGCUUGCUACACUUUCAGGAUGAACCAAAGCUACAAGGGAUAGGAAUGCUUAGCUGCAAUAUCUGGCUUGAGCGUUAGGCCCGAGCCUAGCUACGUUGUGAGUGUGCUUGAGCAUGGUAAAAUUUUGACAAUGUGCUCGAGUACAGCAUAAACACACUCUAGAACAACAAUGCAUAAACAGAAAAAUCUGUUCUCAAGCUUAAUGAUUAGUAAAAUGCCCCUUAGUAGGUAUAAAGUCAACAUUGGUGCAUGCCUAACCUAACCUAACCUAACUUCUUCCCAGAAGACUAAGGAAGCUGAGGAAAAGUGUUUGAGAGAAGACUGAAUGUUUUGGAGGUUCAUUUGAGGCACUUGAGACUUUCUCAGGCUCGUCUUUGUAUCUCAUAUGGAGGAUUCCACCUGUACUUCAUUUUCUUCACUUUUCUUAAUAUCUUUGUGGUUCACUUUCCCAUAACCUGAUGUGAUGUUUAAGAGUGUGUACCAUAAACUAAUAGGAUUUCCUUCAAAUUUAGAAUACCUGAGAGUGAAAAUUAGAUUGUAUGAACAUGCUAGUGAUUGAGAGUUACUACAAGUGACUACUCAUCACCGCUUGCCCUGCUUUGUUCAAUGUCUUUUCAGUCAUUUAAUUGUUUCUCCUCUUUCCUAAAGUUUUGCUCAGGAGACUCUAGAUGUUCUAGAUUGCUAGGUUUUGGAAUUUGGGUACAAAAGAUGCUAUGCUCUUCUGCCUAUUCUUACCAAAGAAUUUGCUUCUAGUUAUAUGUUUAUAGGCAAAGUAUUUAAUGGAACUCUCCAAGAGAGCUCCAUUAGAUGGAGUUGCCCAAUUUAUUUACAAAAAGGUCCCAACACACUAUGAUAUAUUUACACCCCAGGCGGCAACCAGCGGCAAGAUCUUAAAUAGCAGAACAAACUUGAAAAUUGAUCUGAGCACAACUUCUUGGGACAAAACCCUGUUAUCCAGGAUGUUGCAUUCGCUUCCCUCUCUUGGCGUGUAUAGUUAAGCCGAAAUUGAAUGUUAAUCUCCCAAUUUGCUUAUAUAGUCAAUCUCUACAAUCUCUAAUAUACUCCAUUAAUAGUGUGUUAUGUAGUUUGUGAGUUUUAUCAUUGUGUAUGUGUUGCACUCACUGCUACCACUUGGACUGUUAUUGACUAUGUAAUCAUAUCUAGCUUUGUUAAAGUGUAUAAGAACAUAAGGAUCAACUUGCUAUACCAGUGAAUCUCUCUGGAAUUGCUUUCUAA